GACGAACGCUGGCGGCGUGCUUAACACAUGCAAGUCGAACGGUAAGGCCCUUCGGGGUACACGAGUGGCGAACGGGUGAGUAACACGUGGGUGAUCUGCCCUGCACUUCGGGAUAAGCCUGGGAAACUGGGUCUAAUACCGGAUAGGACUCCGGACUGCAUGGUCUGGGGUGGAAAGCUUUUGCGGUGUGGGAUGGGCCCGCGGCCUAUCAGCUUGUUGGUGGGGUGAUGGCCUACCAAGGCGACGACGGGUAGCCGGCCUGAGAGGGUGACCGGCCACACUGGGACUGGGAUACGGCCCAGACUCCUACGGGAGGCAGCAGUGGGGAAUAUUGCACAAUGGGCGCAAGCCUGAUGCAGCGACGCCGCGUGAGGGAUGACGGCCUUCGGGUUGUAAACCUCUUUCAGCAUCGACGAAGCGAAAGUGACGGUAGGUGCAGAAGAAGGACCGGCCAACUACGUGCCAGCAGCCGCAGUAA
This 478-nucleotide ribosomal RNA is filed under the name uncultured bacterium. RNAcentral's name for it is "partial 16S ribosomal RNA". It matches the Rfam family "Bacterial small subunit ribosomal RNA", at positions 28 to 523 of the family's 1533-position model. The record is from RNAcentral.